AAAUGAACAAAUAAUAAUUAGAGUAGUAUGCUUUAUAGUAUAAGCAAGCACACUGUACGCAAGUGAGUCAGACAACGUAAUGUCAUUUGACUGACGGUUUACUUGGCACUGUCUUGUCAGCAGAGAAUACCUUGAAGGUCCUGACGGCACGCCACUGUGUUACAAUUCGAAUAUCCGCCACAGCCCACGUGUUUCUUUUUUUCCCUACAUGGCUGCGCUUCCUCCAGUUUCACCUGAAGAAAAUGCAGCCAAAACAAAGCGAAGAGACAAGCUACGGUCAAACCUGUGAUAAGGUUCUGAAUCAGCAAAUUUGCAGCUCGAUGGAAGCUCACAAUUCUGGGUGGAGCUGCUGGAAGAACUGAAGGAGUCAGGCCAUUUCAAUGGCUCCAAAAGGAUGUAAAUAAAUGCACAAUCUUCUCUGGAACCAGCACAGAAUCAGACCUUCAAGAAUGUCACCCUGCACAUUAGGAAUUCCUAAUGAAUUAUUUAGCCUGCCACAUGGGUAUAAGGUUCAGAUCAGCUGAGAAUGUUACAACAAAUGCUGUUUAAUUACUUAUUUUAAAAGAUAAUAUGUAAUUAAUCUAAGCAAGUGGAAUAAUAUGCUGUAAUGAAUAGUAAUACUGAAGGGUCAGCUGGAAAAGUAACUGUUAUUUCUUCAAAAACCAAAGGCUGGACCACGGAACUGAUAGCGGUGGGAUUGUUAUCCUUUCUUUUUCAUAAAACUACUUUAUUUCCUCAAUCUAGACUCUUGCACAACCUUCAAAGUCAUAAAGGAAGGUAACUUAUUUAUUGAACUCAUGGUGCAUAAGCUAGGACAAUAAUGUUGGAUUUAAUUACCCAUGUUCAUUCCAUGUUCUUUUGUAAUAAAUUAAGUUGAUCACAUGUCCUGAUAAGACAGAGAGUAUAUACAAGCAGAUUUACUAAGCUGUAAACUUACUGCCACAAAAUUAAAGUCAACAAAUAAUGAACGGAACAAAACAAACUAAUAAUGACUCAUAACUCAAAUUAAAGUUUAAGGCACACUUAAUAUUUACAGAAUAGCUUGAAAAGGCAGCGACAUUUAGCAGUUCUAAAAUUUUAAACUUACCAGAAGCAGGACUACAUUAAACAUUGUGAAAGUAAUAAAACUGACAUUACUUAACCCUUUCAGCUUUGAGCUGAAUGUGAAAUUAAGUUAUAUAAUUCAAAAAGGAACUCCUUUAAUGAGUAUACGGAAGAACAUGACAAAUAUUUUCGAUAUCUAUUUCAGUAAAUUGAACUUUACAGUCCUGUCAUUAUUGUAAGAAUAUACAGUAAUAAAAUAAGGCAGUACCUCCAGGACUAAAAGGGUUAAAUGUAGAAAGUAACUUUUUGUAGUUCAGUGUUUGACAAUAUAAUUGCAGGAUGGUAAUGAUGUAACUGUUACUGAGCUUUGAAAAUUGAGAUUGGAAUGCUCCAAAUUUUAAAAUAAAAAUGUACAAAAACAAUUCUUACCACUCCACUAGUGUUUUCAGAUUCCUGUUCUGAUUAUCAUCUUCAAUUUAAACAUCUGUGUAGUUUCUGGAUGAUGCAAAAUACAAUAUUAAAUAUAUCUGUAUUCAGAUAUUCAUAUCCUGACAAAUUGUAAAUAGUGAUAUUCACAAAUUUUCUAUAUAAAGAUAACGAACUAUGUGUUGCAAGAGCACGGCCCUGUCGUUACGAGUUAAAGACAAAGGUUUCUGGUUGUUAUUUCAUAGCUAGGUUUCUUAAAUGUAUUACCU
Acipenser ruthenus (sterlet) is the source of this 1739-nucleotide long non-coding RNA. RefSeq lists it as uncharacterized. Lineage: Eukaryota; Metazoa; Chordata; Actinopteri; Acipenseriformes; Acipenseridae. The record is from RefSeq and is a predicted model, not a curated record. The transcript has 3 exons.